This 535-nucleotide long non-coding RNA is filed under the name Physcomitrium patens. RNAcentral's name for it is "long non-coding RNA (PPAT_LNC002989)". The record is from RNAcentral. Lineage: Eukaryota; Viridiplantae; Streptophyta; Bryopsida; Funariales; Funariaceae.
AACGAAUCCAGUCAUCAGGCACUGAGAAAUGCUUUCCCAAACUCGAUUAAUCCAAACUGCGAAGGCAGUCGACCCCCUCUCACUCAAAAUUUCACCAAAAAUUCAGUUCAACUCCAAAUGGAGCGAGUUUUACCUUGUUGGAAAGCUAACAACAAAAUCUACAAUCACAAAAAAAUCACAUUGGAACUAAAACAAUUGAAUUACUGAUGGAGGGAAAUCUGAGGCCCUUAAAACCCUUGGAGUAAUUGGGAGGCCAAGGGAGCUAUUCACCACAAUGAAACGUGUUUUAAGAUCCAAUGACUAUCAUUCAUAACUCAAAAUCCAUGCACACCCACAAAAUUUACAAUGAGAUUUAAAAUCUAGAUGAAAUUAAAAUUAGGGUUUUUGGCCAAAUUUUAGCAUGGCUUCGUACUUCACCAAAAGAGGAGAAAGCGAGAGGGCUACAUCUCCAUCCUUGAUUUUUUAGAUCCUUAAUUUAGAUCUACGGCCUUCAUUCAUCCAAGAGCCAAUCUCAUUAUUAAGACUUAUGGCCCUU